This 682-nucleotide ribosomal RNA is filed under the name Salmonella enterica subsp. enterica serovar Infantis. Its description in RNAcentral is "bacterial SSU rRNA". It matches the Rfam family "Bacterial small subunit ribosomal RNA", at positions 1 to 672 of the family's 1533-position model. The record is from RNAcentral. Lineage: Bacteria; Pseudomonadati; Pseudomonadota; Gammaproteobacteria; Enterobacterales; Enterobacteriaceae. RNAcentral also lists the same sequence under 1 other name.
AAAUUGAAGAGUUUGAUCAUGGCUCAGAUUGAACGCUGGCGGCAGGCCUAACACAUGCAAGUCGAACGGUAACAGGAAGCAGCUUGCUGCUUCGCUGACGAGUGGCGGACGGGUGAGUAAUGUCUGGGAAACUGCCUGAUGGAGGGGGAUAACUACUGGAAACGGUGGCUAAUACCGCAUAACGUCGCAAGACCAAAGAGGGGGACCUUCGGGCCUCUUGCCAUCAGAUGUGCCCAGAUGGGAUUAGCUUGUUGGUGAGGUAACGGCUCACCAAGGCGACGAUCCCUAGCUGGUCUGAGAGGAUGACCAGCCACACUGGAACUGAGACACGGUCCAGACUCCUACGGGAGGCAGCAGUGGGGAAUAUUGCACAAUGGGCGCAAGCCUGAUGCAGCCAUGCCGCGUGUAUGAAGAAGGCCUUCGGGUUGUAAAGUACUUUCAGCGGGGAGGAAGGUGUUGCGGUUAAUAACCGCAGCAAUUGACGUUACCCGCAGAAGAAGCACCGGCUAACUCCGUGCCAGCAGCCGCGGUAAUACGGAGGGUGCAAGCGUUAAUCGGAAUUACUGGGCGUAAAGCGCACGCAGGCGGUCUGUCAAGUCGGAUGUGAAAUCCCCGGGCUCAACCUGGGAACUGCAUUCGAAACUGGCAGGCUUGAGUCUUGUAGAGGGGGGUAGAAUUCCAG